ACAGCAGAGAAGGUAGCCAAAGAAGCAAGAAACAAGAAGUCUAAGACUAGAGGUGGGAAGAAAUAAUAGUAUGAAGUGCGGUCAAGAUAUGAAAGUAGAAGGGCAAGUUCCAUUGGGCAGAUCAGAAACACUAAUACAUGCCUGUGUUUCUUGUUUUUCUGUGUAUAGCUGUCGCAAUCAUCAUGCGACCGUAUGUAGAUUUUGGUAGUCUUGCUGUUCAUAUCUAAAAAAAUUUCCUGUUAGUACCGCACUUAUGUUAGGAUUUGCAAAUUAGAAAUCGCGACAACAAUUGAGAUACCUGCGUAGCUGUAGGGAU
Molecule: long non-coding RNA, 316 nt
Filed under: Phoenix dactylifera (date palm)
Lineage: Eukaryota; Viridiplantae; Streptophyta; Magnoliopsida; Arecales; Arecaceae
Description: long non-coding RNA (PDAC_LNC006996)
Source: RNAcentral